GAUGAACGCUGGCGGCGUGCCUAAUACAUGCAAGUCGAGCGAACAGACGAGGAGCUUGCUCCUCUGACGUUAGCGGCGGACGGGUGAGUAACACGUGGAUAACCUACCUAUAAGACUGGGAUAACUUCGGGAAACCGGAGCUAAUACCGGAUAAUAUAUUGAACCGCAUGGUUCAAUAGUGAAAGACGGUUUUGCUGUCACUUAUAGAUGGAUCCGCGCCGCAUUAGCUAGUUGGUAAGGUAACGGCUUACCAAGGCAACGAUGCGUAGCCGACCUGAGAGGGUGAUCGGCCACACUGGAACUGAGACACGGUCCAGACUCCUACGGGAGGCAGCAGUAGGGAAUCUUCCGCAAUGGGCGAAAGCCUGACGGAGCAACGCCGCGUGAGUGAUGAAGGUCUUCGGAUCGUAAAACUCUGUUAUUAGGGAAGAACAAAUGUGUGAGUAACUAUGCACGUCUUGACGGUACCUAAUCAGGAAGCCACGGCUAACUACGUG
RNAcentral lists this ribosomal RNA (497 nucleotides) under uncultured bacterium. RNAcentral describes it as "partial 16S ribosomal RNA". It matches the Rfam family "Bacterial small subunit ribosomal RNA", at positions 28 to 507 of the family's 1533-position model. The record is from RNAcentral.